Molecule: long non-coding RNA, 2998 nt
Filed under: Xyrichtys novacula (pearly razorfish)
Lineage: Eukaryota; Metazoa; Chordata; Actinopteri; Labriformes; Labridae
Source: RNAcentral
UUUAACCCUUUUAAGCCUGUAAUAUUAACAGUCCGCCUGGUCAUUAUUCUCUUUUUUUAGCUGUAAAUGUGUCAAAAAGUGUCUUUUGUGUGAAAUAUUUUGCCCCUUUCUUCAAGAUAAGUUAAACUUAAAAAUCUCUCAAGUAUUUUACAUUUUUAACAUGUUAUGUAUAGUUAAACUGUGUGAAAUUACAACAAAAACAAAAAACGGAACUGAUUUUUUAGAAAGUUUUGUAUUUGUUAACACUUAAGAUGUACAGGUCCAAAGAUUCUGAGAUGACAAAAACAUUAUUUGAACUAUAAUACAACAACUCAAGCAGUUUUGUUUUCCUGGAACCUUCUUUUCACCUGUUACUGCUUGAAAAAGUCUACUAAUAACCAGGCGUUUUUUUAGGAAUGAAACUCCCUGUAGCAAUUCCUAUCUAAUUGAAGGCAGAGUCCAACUCUACACUCUUCACACUUCCAGGGAGUGCAUUGUUUUCUCCCCUGGCUGUCUCUCUGCCUUUUCUCCAUUGACUGCCCUCUGCUGGUGGGGACAGGAAAGCAGCCUUGAGUGGGGGGUGUGGGGGUCUUGGGCGGUGGAUUGAGUGGCACACCAAGCAGCUCGGCACACAGCUUCUCCUGGAAAGCCUAGUGUGUCAUGAGCUUCCUCUUCUGUGUCACACUGAUUUCUUUGUGGAGGAUAUAGCUGUUUGUUGCAGCUGUAUCCACAAGGUGUUGAAACACAGUCAUGGGCCAUCUUCUGGUCUUCCUGUGGACAGAGUUGGUGCCCAACAUCUGGUCAGAAGUGUCCACCCCUCCCAUGUACUUGUUGGAUGAGGGUCAGGGUAGUGCUGGACGAUAAUUCGAUAACAAUAUAUAUCGAUCGAUAGACGUGUGGUGCGAUAGAAAAAAAACGGGUCGAUAAAAUGUUCGAUAGAAAAACACAGUUUCCCUUUCUUUUUCAUCAUAGCCUAUCAUGUAGCUUUUGCUACAGUCAUUACUUCCUCCCAACCAAUCACAAACGCAGACCCAGGUACGCUAUGGCACCAAGCCCAGCCCCUAUCAAACCACAACAGACAGCACGUGUAUUAGAAAAAAUGAUACAGCAAGGAGAAGCGGAGGACAUUGUCAGUAGUUCACCAGCAUGGCAAUGUUUUGGUUUUUAGAAGUCUGACAAAAAGCGAACAGCGGUCGUUUGCAAAAUUUGCAGAGAAUUAAUAAAAACCAAGUCUGGUAACACAACCAACUUGUUUUACCAUCUAAACCGGUCGCACCCGCAGGAGUACGAGCUGUGUCGGCCGCGCCGCGGCUCCACGUCGUCGUCGGAGGAAUCCUCUGGAACCGCUGCCAGCACCAGCACAAAGCAAGUGAAGCAGACCAAACUGGACUUCGUUUCUUGUCAAAAUACGACAAAGCGCCCGAGCGGCAUAAGGACAUCACCCAUGCAGUAACAUGCUGCAUAGCGAGGGACAUACUGCCAAUAACUACCGUUGAAAAGCCUGGCUUCGACCAGCUUCUAGCCACUCUCGACCCGCGAUAUGAAGUGCCCGGCCGCAAGUAUUUCUCAAACACAGCGCUUCAGUCAUGAAAAUGGGUCAGGGGUUGAAAAGGUGAGAAGAAUGCACCCCUGCAUCCCGUCCACUCAUUAGCUUCUUAAAGUGGAAGAAAAUGAGCUCAUAUUUUACAAAGACGCGAGUAUUUGGAUCAUGGCUACUAGCAGGGGGUGCAUUCGGCAGGGGUGCAUUCUACGACACAACACCGGCGUGGAUAAGUCCUGCUUCUCGUGCUCAGUUUGCGUAUCAAGUCAAUCACAUGAUAAUUAAAAAAAAUAAAUCUCUCGACCCCGGGAGAAAUAUUUCAGUGUUCAGACACCAGGCUGUGGGCAGUUUCUCACACAGUUAAAACUGGUAGUAUGUUAUUCCCACCUAAAGCUAUUCUGUUUAUUUAUAUAUUUGUUUGUUUUGUUUAUUUUCAUCAAAAGACUAUUUAAAUAUUUAUUUAUCAGAUUUUCUGGUCACUUUAGUCUUUAUGUUUGUCAGUAUUUACUGACGUCACUCAGGCCCCUUAAGUUGAUUUCUUUUUUUUUUUAGUUCUUUUUUUAAAAACUUUCAGUUGUGGUAAAAUAAAAAAGGUGGUUGAAUAAAGGUUUGAAUUUGAAUUCAGUGCUUCUGUGUUCUUUAUUAAAAGUAGGUCAUUAAGCAAUAGCAUAAAACAUCCAGGGCUGCAAUUAAAAUAUAUGUUAAAUAAUUAUAAUAAUUAUAUCGAUAAUUAUUGAUAUCGAUCAAUAUGAUUUAUUUUUUAUCGAUAUGCUUUUUUUCUAUAUCGUCCAGGCCUAGGUCAGGGUCUGCCUCUGUCUUCCAGGCCUCCUGCAGUUGUGGUGAAUGACAUGCAGGAGCAUCACCAGCAGCAUCAGGACCACCACUGCUGCUGCUGUGCUGCCUGCGUUGGCCACAGACCAGACUUCGUCCCCGCCUUGUCCUUUUUGAUGGUCCCUCAUCAGAAGAAUCUGUAAAAAUGUAUUGAGGAGAUAAUCAUAAAUAAAAAGUAUUUAUUUACAAAAUAUUAUGAAUUCAAAUAAUGAUAUCAUUAUAUUAGAACUAAAUUUGGGAGUAUGCAUACUAUUUACUUACUGUGUUUGGGAUGGAGACACACCCCCUGCCUCCUCCUGCAUCUCCAUCUUCUCUUCCUCCUCCACAAAUUGAGCUGGAAGUCUCAUCUUUCUUGCAGAUCUCAACAUUUCUGCCUCCACUAUUACAAUCAAUACUAAAGGAACUAGCUAAAAACGGUCGUGCUAAGGCAAGAACACGGCACAAAACACGGCAAAACGACACUCAAAACUUAUAAAAUGAACUCUAACACUAUGAUAAACAACAUUAAAUAUAAUAUAUACAACGAUUAAUAUAAUAUAUACAAAGAUAAACAGCUAAAUUACCUCUAAAACUCCGCUAAAACUCCGCUAAAUCUCCGAUGAAUCUCCCAGAUCUGCACUCUCUCUGCUCCAAAGUCUCCCUCACGUC